AGAGUUUGAUCAUGGCUCAGAUUGAACGCUGGCGGCAGGCCUAACACAUGCAAGUCGAACGGUAACAGGAAGCAGCUUGCUGCUUCGCUGACGAGUGGCGGACGGGUGAGUAAUGUCUGGGAAGCUGCCUGAUGGAGGGGGAUAACUACUGGAAACGGUAGCUAAUACCGCAUAAUGUCGCAAGACCAAAGAGGGGGACCUUCGGGCCUCUUGCCAUCGGAUGUGCCCAGAUGGGAUUAGCUUGUUGGUGGGGUAACGGCUCACCAAGGCGACGAUCCCUAGCUGGUCUGAGAGGAUGACCAGCCACACUGGAACUGAGACACGGUCCAGACUCCUACGGGAGGCAGCAGUGGGGAAUAUUGCACAAUGGGCGCAAGCCUGAUGCAGCCAUGCCGCGUGUAUGAAGAAGGCCUUCGGGUUGUAAAGUACUUUCAGCGGGGAGGAAGGGAGUAAAGUUAAUACCUUUGCUCAUUGACGUUACCCGCAGAAGAAGCACCGGCUAACUCCGUGCAGCAGCCGCGGUAAUACGGAGGGUGCAAGCGUUAAUCGGAAUUACUGGGCGUAAAGCGCACGCAGGCGGUUUGUUAAGUCAGAUGUGAAAUCCCCGGGCUCAACCUGGGAACUGCAUCUGAUACUGGCAAGCUUGAGUCUCGUAGAGGGGGGUAGAAUUCCAGGUGUAGCGGUGAAAUGCGUAGAGAUCUGGAGGAAUACCGGUGGCGAAGGCGGCCCCCUGGACGAAGACUGACGCUCAGGUGCGAAAGCGUGGGGAGCAAACAGGAUUAGAUACCCUGGUAGUCCACGCCGUAAACGAUGUCGACUUGGAGGUUGUGCCCUUGAGGCGUGGCUUCCGGAGCUAACGCGUUAAGUCGACCGCCUGGGGAGUACGGCCGCAAGGUUAAAACUCAAAUGAAUUGACGGGGGCCCGCACAAGCGGUGGAGCAUGUGGUUUAAUUCGAUGCAACGCGAAGAACCUUACCUGGUCUUGACAUCCACGGAAGUUUUCAGAGAUGAGAAUGUGCCUUCGGGAACCGUGAGACAGGUGCUGCAUGGCUGUCGUCAGCUCGUGUUGUGAAAUGUUGGGUUAAGUCCCGCAACGAGCGCAACCCUUAUCCUUUGUUGCCAGCGGUCCGGCCGGGAACUCAAAGGAGACUGCCAGUGAUAAACUGGAGGAAGGUGGGGAUGACGUCAAGUCAUCAUGGCCCUUACGACCAGGGCUACACACGUGCUACAAUGGCGCAUACAAAGAGAAGCGACCUCGCGAGAGCAAGCGGACCUCAUAAAGUGCGUCGUAGUCCGGAUUGGAGUCUGCAACUCGACUCCAUGAAGUCGGAAUCGCUAGUAAUCGUGGAUCAGAAUGCCACGGUGAAUACGUUCCCGGGCCUUGUACACACCGCCCGUCACACCAUGGGAGUGGGUUGCAAAAGAAGUAGGUAGCUUAACCUUCGGGAGGGCGCUUACCACUUUGUGAUUCAUGACUGGGGUGAAGUCGGAACAAGGUA
Molecule: ribosomal RNA, 1499 nt
Filed under: metagenome
Description: bacterial SSU rRNA
Rfam family: Bacterial small subunit ribosomal RNA
Source: RNAcentral